UACGUAGGGUGCAAGCGUUAAUCGGAAUUACUGGGCGUAAAGCGUGCGCAGGCGGUUGUGCAAGACAGAUGUGAAAUCCCCGGGCUUAACCUGGGAACUGCAUUUGUGACUGCACGGCUAGAGUGUGUCAGAGGGGGGUAGAAUUCCACGUGUAGCAGUGAAAUGCGUAGAUAUCAAGAGGAACACCAGUGGCGAAGGCGAGUCCCUGGACAACACCUGACACUGAGGCACGAAAGCUAGGGGAGCAACCAGG
Molecule: ribosomal RNA, 253 nt
Filed under: uncultured bacterium
Lineage: Bacteria
Description: partial 16S ribosomal RNA
Rfam family: Bacterial small subunit ribosomal RNA
Source: RNAcentral